ACUCACAUAGCCUCCCUUACCCCACAUACCAUUGCUACCAUGUACACCUGUUUAUGUCGGUGGAAAUACAUUUUUCAUGGUACUUUCAGUGUAGCUCGUUUCUGUUGUUACCUACCUGUGCUCUGGGAAAAUGUGCAUUAGAUUCUGUAUCACCUUAGGUUUAAGAUAAAUGUGCAUCUGUGUGUUUCUGAAUACAUAUGGAUCUUUUUCUUCUGAGCAAACCUGUUGAUGGUCGACAGCCUGGGCCGACGCAGGCCGUCCGGCUUAAUAAUGGGCCAGACCGGGCUUGAAUGGCCCAACAUUCCUCACCGGUUGGUCAACGACGGCCCAGUCUUACCAGCCGCUCCCGCACGCGUAGAAAAUUCUAGGGUUCAAAUCAAAUCGACCCUGUCCUCCUCGCCCUAUCCUCUCGCUUCCCCCGUCCAAUCCCCACCUCAGCAAGCAAACCCUAAUCGACUGCCACGGAGGAGGCAGGAUCGAAGGUGCGCGACCGAGCGGGAGCUGGCCGUACCGGAGAUCCGAGCCUCCGGAGCUCAAAAUCCCCCCCGUCGCCGCCGCCGUCGCUCUCGCGGUAAGAAGAUCAUCCGUCCAUUCCAUUCAAUUUGCAGCUGAAUUCGACGCUGCCGGUGGCCGGAACCCCGCGUUCCUCCCCGAAUCGAGAAAUUCUCGAAGUAUUCGCGUUCUGAGCUCCGGAUUCUUCUUUCUCUCCCAUGGCAGCCGCGGCAGGAGGGUGAUGAGAUCUUCGCGGGCGGGCCUCGCUCGGUCAUAAGAUGCUAGCCGGCGGCGUUGGCAGCAACAGAGGCGGCAGUUCCCAUCUCUCCUCCCCCUCCUCCCAGAGGGACCUACGCGGAGGCCGGAGCUUCCUCUUCGGGAACACCUGGUUCAUGCUCUCCGCCUACCCGGCGCGCCUGCUGCACACCGCGGACCGCCGCGCGCCCGCUGCCGCCUUCGUCGCCGCCGCCAUCCACCGGACGCCCCGGGUCGUGCGCGCGCACGGCGGCACGGGACAGGGCCUGCUGCAGCGGGGCAUCGUCAUGGCCGCCUGCGGCUACGCCUUCGGGCGGGCCGACCUGGGCGCCGCCGCCAAGCGCCAGCUGGAGAAGGACUCCUCGUCCGUGGCUGCCCACGCCUCGCGCAUCGUCGCCAUGGGGUCGGCUGGGAGCGCGGCCAGGCCCGAUGUCUCGUUCAGGUACCGGGGUCUGGAGUACUGUAAGAAGGUCGGCGUGAGCUUGAGAUGCCGCGAGCAGUGGGGGGCGGCUAGGACGUUCUGGACCAGUGCCGUUGGACCAGGCAGGCAGCUCAGCUUCUCGGUUGACCCUUGGGCUCGGGAUUUCAGCACGUCGUGUGCGGCGCCUUACUCUGCUGGAGCUACAGAGAGUCAACUGACUCUGGAUGAGGCAUUACAGGAGAAGCAGACGGAUAACUCCACCGUUGCCUCUGAUGAGUAUGUAUCCUCAUUCCUGUUGCAUGUACCAUUAUACCAUUAUAAAUUUCAAAUGACUUUCCCCUGGAAUGACUAUUAAAUUGAUCUAAAACAGAUAUGAGCCUGCAUGUUUAAUUUCCAUGAAAUGUUUGUUUCGAUGGGAAUUUCAUGCAGUGCUGUCAUGAGGAAUGCCUCAGUCUUGAUAUGUGGGCCUGGCUGCCAAAUAUUGGUUGUUUCUGUUGGACCCCUUUUUAUGACAGGAUAUGUCCAUAGGUUACAUGAAUACAGCCACCAAGUCAUCCACAGGGUGUUGCUCCCUGGAAUGGUUAUUAACUUGUUUUAAAACCGAUAUGAACACACAUGCUUAACUCCUGUGAAUGUUUGGUUACGUAAGAAUUUCAUGCAAUAUUGCGUUUGCCACCUUCAUUUUUUGCAAUUAGUUUGUCAAAAGGUACAUGUGUGUGUGUGUGUGUAACCCAUGAGGAAUGCCUGAGUCCUGAUAUGCGGGCCUGGCUACAAAAUGCUGGUUGUUUCUAUUGAACACCAUUUUAAUACAGGAUAGUCCAUACGAUACAUGAAUGCUUCCAUCAGUCACCCGAACUGUUGUGUUCCAUGCUUACCGUUGUCUAGACGCAAGUGCUAACAUGCAGGCAAGCAUUUUAUAAAAGUUAAAAUUCGAAAUGUAACUAAUGUGAUUAUUUCGUUGUAAGGCCAUAAGGUAUAUAUGUAGUAAGAUUUUAUUGAAUGUUGCCUUGCAACCCUGCUAGUGAUGUCAUUGUCAAUCACUUCUUCAUUAAUGAUAUUGUGUCCGAUAAUUCGAAUAAAGGUCCAGGAAUUUGGAUUUGGACAACAAUGGAUGGCGACAGGACAGCACAAUAUUUAGACAUUGAACAUGAACCAACUAUUUACGGUCAAUUUCCUACACGUUUGUUCAUUGCAUCUUAAGGAAAUUUGCUCUCAUGUUCUUCUGGUGUCAUAUUAGUAGCAUUUAAAUUUCUGUUAUCUUCUGGUAGCAACUGUUCUAUUGCUUUUUUUGCACCUGUUGUUGGUUGACAGACAUUUUCCUCUACAGGAAGUCACCUGCUCCUGAAAAACUGAAGCUGGUCUCAGGUUCUUGUUACCUGCCUCACCCUGCUAAGGAGGCGACUGGUGGCGAGGAUGGCCACUUUAUUUGCGUUGAUGAGCAGGCGAUCGGUGUGGCAGAUGGUGUUGGUGGUUGGGCAGAUCACGGUGUUGAUGCUGGACUGUAUGCAAAAGAACUAAUGAGUAAAUCAAUGAGUGCUAUCAAGGAUGAACCGGAAGGCGCAAUUGACCCAUCAAGAGUUUUGGAGAAAGCUUUUACAGGCACCAAAGCAAGAGGAUCAUCAACUGCUUGCAUCAUCACUCUUAAAGAACAGGUUAGCCAGAUUUUCUGACUAUUAAUCGUUGUUUAUUGUAGUCUCCUUCCAUUGCCAGUUGAUUUAUUGUGCUGAGUAGGAUAAACACAAAUUGUUACUAUGUAGUUUCUUUGGACCAUGUAUAGCACAGUAAGGCACCUCUCACAUGGUCGGAGGAAAAAGGGGUCGUUGAUGUAGUAAAAUGAGGAUAGCUGAAAUAGCACUUUUGGUGCUACAUUCUUGGAUCGCUAUGGUGCUGUGGUAUUCUCGUCCAUGAGUAUAAAAGUAACUGUAUUGAUAAAUCUCGUAUUCAUCUGUUUGGUCAUGUCUGAGCACUUUCAAUUCAACAGAACUAGAAGUUCCUGAUUCGUAUUUCUGGAAAGGAACACAUUUAUUUUGCAGUCUUUUUUUCUAAUUUAGUGAUUCUUACUAUCAUGCUAUUUAAACUUGCAGGGUCUUCAUGCUGUAAAUCUUGGGGACAGUGGCUUCAUAGUGGUCAGAGAUGGACGCACUGUUCUCAAAUCACCUUCGCAGCAGCAUGAUUUUAAUUUUACUUAUCAGCUCGAGAGUGGGGGUGGCAGUGAUCUUCCCAGUUCUGCUGACGUGAGUACAUCCUGGCUUUGCAGUGAUCUUCCUAUAUCUUUGAAUAAUGUUUGUAGAACUCUGACACAACAUGAUAACUUGGAUGUCUUUAUUCUCCGCCGAAUAGGUUGUUUAAGUUUAUAGCAUCAAAAUAUUGUAUGACAUGAUUCCCCAUACUCACUUAUGUAGGUAUUUCACUACUCGGUUGCUCCUGGUGAUGUUAUCAUUGCUGGCACGGAUGGGCUUUUUGACAACCUGUACGACAACGAAAUCACUGCCGUCGUUGUCGAGGCCCUCAGGAGUGGCCUCGGUGCCCAGGGCACAGCUCAGAAAAUCGCCGCCCUUGCUCGGGAGAGAGCGGAGGAUAAGCACAGGCAGUCGCCCUUUGCAGCCGCUGCUCAGGAGGCUGGGUACAGGUACUAUGGAGGGAAGCUCGACGACAUCACGGUCGUGGUGUCGUACGUGACGAGCGCCUCAGCCGUUUGAUGCGACGCUUCCAUUUUCUGUUGUAAUGUACAUAACCUUGCCCCAAACUCAUGGGAGCUCCUACGCCCCGGGGAGUAGAUUCCUAGGUUGGUUUAUUCGAGUGUUGGGGGAUCUCCUGACACCUUAAUGUUUUAGAGUAUUGAGAUUGCGCUUUGGCUCGGGAAAUCGUGGCGAAAAACCAUGUCUGCCCCACUGCUCAUUUAGCACUACAUGAGAUGCUUCUUGUAAACCCAUCCUUGGUGGAAGGAGAACCACCACGUGCUGGCAAAGUUUUGUUGUAGUUGCUAAACAUGUUUGCCUUCUCGUGCUGCUGAGAGAUAGGCUGUUGUGAGUUCUUACUGUGCGUUAGCUCACCAAGCUGUUGCGAACAAUCCCCUUAAAAAAGGUGCUGUAAACAAUUGAAUCAAAAUAAUGUAUCAAGACAAUUUUAUUUACAUGCUGUGUCACUUUCGAGAGAUCUCGAAGUGGACAGUUUUGCUGGCAUAGUGAAGCUUGCUGUUUCUGCCGUGCCGCAUUAGUUGGGACUUGGAAAGCACUGUUUUUUGUUGUUGCGACAAUUAAGAUGGCGUUGGAAAGGUAACUUUGCUAUGCGGCAAGUGUUUCGGUGUGGAUUUACGGCAAAAGGUUUGAGUAGAGAAGGGCGUGUGAUAUUCAGCGUGUUCAUUGCUUCACAGUUCUCUUUAAGCUGGACUGAGUUCUGAUCUCAAGCGUGCCGUUUACGGUCAGGUACUGGUCUGGGUUCUGAUCUGAAGCGCCGUGAACGGUAGUCCUCAUGUCAGGUACUGGCCUAAGUUCUGAUCUGAACCGUUAGGGGUCGUUGUCACUCGUCAGGUUAGGUUCGUCUGUUAACAGUCGUCGUCGGGCCAGGCGUUCUGGGACAGCUCUUUGCUGCUUCUAGCAUUCAGCGCCCAUUUGAGCAUGCCGUUUACACUAGAUACUUUACUGCCUCUGCACUUUUCUUCUGAAUUUAUAAUCAUCAUGCAAUAUGGCAAAGCCGACCAAACUUCUUUAAAGAGAAACAGAUUUUGGUUGCUAGUUGUAGGGUUCGGACGAACAACAUUUGCAUGCAUGGUAGGCCAGGGACCUGAAUGUGAGAACAUCAUUUGCACGCAUGCCAGGUCAGUGACAGCGCCAGAUGCCACUAUUGAAGUUCCCGUUUUCUUUAAGCAGCGAACACACUGCCUGAAACUGCUUUUGGUUCGCCCACUCGAUGCGCAAGAGAGGAGAGCAAGGACUGGAAUGCGAAAACAGUUACAUAUGCAAGCCAGGCCAAGGAGCAAAAUUUAAUUUAAACGAAUUGGCAGGGGCCGCGCGAACGCGUACCCCCUUUAUCACAAAUUAUGACGUUCAUUCUCCCACUUGGGGAGAUGAUGGGCCAACGCACCCACCAAGUGCAAUGUGGGCCAUUGACCCAGGCCACGGGCCUUGUUGAUCGCCCGUCGACCCCGUCCAGGUAAGUGAGGGGAACGUAGCACCUCGCCCUCCUCUUAUAGCCAGCUCUCCUGUUCGAUUCCCUUGGCUAGGCGAGGUGGUACUAAAUGCUGAAGAGCAGCAGCCGCGGGGGCGAAGGGAGUCACGGGGGGGCGCGCGAUUAGCUUCAGACUUUAGUGGGCUCACGUUUGACCUAUCUGGCCCUCCAGCAGCAAGACGUGGGCCUUGAGAGUACCAGUUUUGUGCUCUUGCUGUGCAAUCGUGUUGCUCACCACUAAAAAAAAAAAAGUGUAAUCGUGUUGCUCUCUCCUCCAGGAAGAAUGAG
This 5623-nucleotide long non-coding RNA is filed under the name Triticum aestivum (bread wheat). RNAcentral's name for it is "long non-coding RNA (TAES_LNC009336)". The record is from RNAcentral. Lineage: Eukaryota; Viridiplantae; Streptophyta; Magnoliopsida; Poales; Poaceae.